GUAUAUUGGUUACUUAAUGACAAAAAUGAUUUGCUUCCUAGCUGGUUCUUGAUGUGUAUUUACUUGGGUGCAGAAAUACCUAGGCUGAGUGUGGAGGGACUAUGAGCCAUCCAGGAGCUGCUAUACCAAAGAAAAAUGGGGAACCUGGGUGUGCUUGGCCUUGCUGGGCUCCUGAAGACACUGAGGCUGAUGGAGCAAAGUUGUCAAAGGUGCAGGAAAGCAACUGUGUUUUCAACAGAUACAUAACAGCCUAAUAGCAGGGAUCUUGUGUAAGAACUUUCACUGGAGCCAUGAAUAAAGAACAGGUAAAUAAAUGGCGGUAUGUUUUGGUACAGGUUUCAUACAUAUACACUCUUACGCCUGCGUACACACUGUAUAUCAUGUGGGGGCUACUGGAG
Molecule: long non-coding RNA, 398 nt
Organism: Phasianus colchicus (ring-necked pheasant)
Lineage: Eukaryota; Metazoa; Chordata; Aves; Galliformes; Phasianidae
Source: RefSeq, a predicted model, not a curated record